UUUGCUUUCAAGGGGUUGUUGAGAUCCCUUUUGGAUUCUUUGUUGGAGAUUAGGGUGGGAAAUAAGCAGGACUGCUGAGGAGUCUCGGCUGUCACUUUGGAAUAUGAAAACAGUCUGGCUUCAAGUAAACCCAGUUUGAGAUUCACGCUCCCUCCUCCCUGCGCUCCUCAGCCGUCUCCCAUAAUCACUGGUCCUGGAUGGGAAUUUGUGGGAGCUGGUUGGGCCCAAACUGCGAUUUCUCAUCCAAUGCAAUGGAAAAGCCAAAAUGAGAAGAGUAAAGUUUAAAUCAGACAAAUUGCACAAAGGUCCACGAAAAGCCACAAGGAGACCACGUGCCUUUCCGAAGGGUGACUCCAGGACAAGGGGAUGGCAGGCUCAACGAAGGUGUUCAUCUUUUAUCCCACUUUCAAUUGCGGUGAAGUGCAUGAAGCAGGACCUAACUGGAAGAACAGAGAGUCAUACAUAUGUCCCAACUCAAACCCAUCAUUGAAAGUGAAAGUGGGAUAACGAUGUGUUUGUGCUUCCUUUGUUAUAAAAAGAAAACUGUUUUC
Molecule: long non-coding RNA, 551 nt
Filed under: Equus caballus (horse)
Lineage: Eukaryota; Metazoa; Chordata; Mammalia; Perissodactyla; Equidae
Description: lncRNA (ENSECAG00000047271.1)
Source: RNAcentral